GCCUUAGUGGUGUAAUUGGUAACACUUCUGGCUGGAAAUCGGAAGGUCCGGAAUCCGAAUCUUGGCAAGGACA
This 73-nucleotide transfer RNA is filed under the name Stegodyphus mimosarum. It matches the Rfam family "tRNA". Rfam says of the family: Transfer RNA (tRNA) molecules are approximately 80 nucleotides in length. Their secondary structure includes four short double-helical elements and three loops (D, anti-codon, and T loops). Further hydrogen bonds mediate the characteristic L-shaped molecular structure. tRNAs have two regions of fundamental functional importance: the anti-codon, which is responsible for specific mRNA codon recognition, and the 3' end, to which the tRNAs corresponding amino acid is attached (by aminoacyl-tRNA synthetases). tRNAs cope with the degeneracy of the genetic code in two manners: having more than one tRNA (with a specific anti-codon) for a particular amino acid; and 'wobble' base-pairing, i.e. permitting non-standard base-pairing at the 3rd anti-codon position. The record is from Rfam by way of RNAcentral. Lineage: Eukaryota; Metazoa; Arthropoda; Arachnida; Araneae; Eresidae.